RNAcentral lists this transfer RNA (43 nucleotides) under Ceratolimon feei. Its description in RNAcentral is "partial tRNA-His". The record is from RNAcentral. Lineage: Eukaryota; Viridiplantae; Streptophyta; Magnoliopsida; Caryophyllales; Plumbaginaceae.
GGCGGAUGUAGCCAAGUGGAUCAAGGCAGUGGAUUGUGAACCC